CCUACGGGUGGCAGCAGUGAGGAAUAUUGGUCAAUGGGCGAGAGCCUGAACCAGCCAAGUCGCGUGAGGGAGUACUGCCCUAUGGGUUGUAAACCUCUUUUGUCGGGGAGCAAAAGCCGGACGUGUCCGGCUGUGAGAGUACCCGAAGAAAAAGCAUCGGCUAACUCCGUGCCAGCAGCCGCGGUAAUACGGAGGAUGCGAGCGUUAUCCGGAUUUAUUGGGUUUAAAGGGUGCGCAGGCGGAUUUUUAAGUCAGCGGUAAAAUCGAGGGGCUCAACCCCAUCCAGCCGUUGAAACUGGGGAUCUAGAGUGUGCGAGAGGUAUGCGGAAUGCGUGGUGUAGCGGUGAAAUGCAUAGAUAUCACGCAGAACCCCGAUUGCGAAGGCAGCAUACCGGUGCACAACUGACGCUCAGGCACGAAAGCGUGGGUAUCGAACAGGAUUAGAUACCCUUGUAGUC
This 458-nucleotide ribosomal RNA is filed under the name uncultured bacterium. RNAcentral describes it as "partial 16S ribosomal RNA". It matches the Rfam family "Bacterial small subunit ribosomal RNA", at positions 338 to 795 of the family's 1533-position model. The record is from RNAcentral.